GCCAAGAGAGCGAAGUUUGCGGGCCAAAGGUCUCUGCGGCGACUGUCACGCAGAGCGGGUUUUUUUCUUUGGUGACGGUCCUUCAGGAAGCGACCGGAGAGACAAACUCCUCCUGAACUGAGAUUCACGCAGUCAGAGACGUUCGAAUUGGGUUCGAUGUGAAGUGAAUUCAUCGGAGGACUUUUGUAACCUAUCUGGCAAACCGCUGGAACCCCCCCCCCUCUGGAAGCAUGGCGAGCAUUGAUUCAAUGGCACAAUUUAACAUUUUUAGACGCUGGAGCGUAGUUUGAUUAUUUAGAUGAGGCCAAAAUAUCGGAAGACAUAAACCAAACGUUUGGAGGAAACCCAUGAGCAUGAGCAGAAAAGACUUUUCACCACACAUGUGCCGCAUUUGGGCCAGAAAAACGAAGCUCAACACAGCACCGUAAUUUGCUGUUUAGGGUGGACCGAUGUGUUUAAUUGUGUGUGGGGGGGUUCCACUUCUGGGAAAUUAUAUAUUUUUAGACGAUCUCUAAAGGUGCCAUCAGCUAUAUGGGAACAUUGCGGCACCUCUUUCCUGCUUCUUCCAGCUCGAUCCUGUGGCUUCCCGAGUUGGACGUUUGGCCAAAAUUUUGUGUGUUUAUGGAGCCGUUUGAGAAAUCAAAUAAAGUGUCCUCAUCAGUCCUAAUAUCUCCCGGGACUACCGCGUGGACAUUACCCUUCCUCCCCACGUUCGUACCGGUUAGUUUCAUUCAUAAAAGACACGAGGAUGAAUUCAUUGUCGUGGUUGGCCUCGGGUGGACACUGCAACCCCAAAGUGACACCGGUCCAAACUGAACCUCCCAGCCACGUGACAACAGGCCAACGUACACAAACCCCCCUUUUCGUCUCUGCAGUAACGGUGAGACAACAGCGACACCAUGAGGCCAGAAGCAGCCGUGCUUUGCCCUGCAUGCCCCGGGUAAAAUGCCCCGGGUUUCUUCCUAUUCCCUUUUUUGUUGUUGCACAUUUUGACACAAGACAUUGUUAAACAAGACGUUUGAGGAGCGCCAUGUUGCUGUGUUGUAAGUCGUGAACUGGAGAUCCACGGGACCAGAUCGUCGGUGGCUCAUUGCCCGCAAUCUGCCCCCCUGCUCCUGGCAGCCGACACGCAUCUUCGAGCGCAUGCUUUCAUUUUAAUAUCAACUACACCCCCGUAAAGUUUGGCUUCCGUAUCUUUGACGGUCGGGGACAAAGCUUGUCCAAAGAUAGACUCAUUAACGCCGGGCACAGAACUCCGAAUAGCUUCCAUGUGCAUUUAAGAAAAGACCGGAUAGGAUCGCAUUCCUGCGCUGACAAAAUCACGAGCAGCGCUUUCCUCCAUCACUCGCGCAUGUGACGACUAAAAACACAUGUGCAUAUUAAACACAUCUGCUUUUAGUCGUCGCAUCGUUUGGAUGUUGACCAGAAUUUGAAGUUUUGACGAAUUUCUGUUGUUGUUUUGCCUUCGACAAAUAUCUCCGAGAUACGCUGUUGUUUUUCUGUCUUGUAUCGCAUUUGUAAAUCUUCCAAGGAAAAGUCUUCAAAGACUCCCGGUUGCCGAGGCUUUCAUCAGCGGGCCACCGGUCCCCAUUGUGUCGGUUCAUCUGCCGAUUGAUGGUGACUCAACACACGUUGUUUCGGUGGGAUAUUGUUUCAUAACAGUGUCCUGUGUGAUAUGAACCCUAGUUGGCCGAAAGCAGAACCCUUUACACCACAUAGGGGACCAAUAGAACCCUUGAGUUUGUUGUUCUUUUUUCUUUUUUGUUACUAAAUAAUGAAAAAAGUAUGUUCCCUGUUACGUAUAAAUGUUUGUGCUUGUGUGACAGGCCGGUCCAACCCGACCGUGAACAAAGUGAGCAGUUUGUCCAGAACCACACGGAGCCACGUGGCAGCACCAAGGAGGCCCCUGCACCUCCUUAAGUUAAGUUCCCCGCCCGCGGCGCGUUGUGUCAAACGCUUUUUUGAAAUGACCACCAGCGUCACGUCAACGACACCGAGGCCCACGAGGGAUCCCCGAGAAGCCAAAAACCCCCCAGCAGUCAAUAUCAUUUCGACCUGAAGGCCGAACGUCUGUGCUUGCAUGAUGAUGUAUAAAUAAAUAAAAAAUAAAUCUUCAUGAUGUAAUCUUCUGAAAUAAUUCAUAUAGUGUGGGAGAUAGAAGCGAAACUAUGAGAUCAGUGAGAAAUUGCACCGUUGCUUUGCCCCUAGUCUAACUAUGAACAGAUGCUAUCAUUUCUACGGAUCAAAAGAAGAGAAAGGGAGGAAGCCACACUGGCUCGGACCACUUCCACUUUCAAUCUCUGCCUUCAUUUUGAUCUCAACUGCACACCUGCAAAGUUUCAUACCUGCGUCUCACGGAACUGUGAUGCAGUCACAGUGACAAAAAUCCAUCCGAAGACGGAGAAAAAUGCAAAUGGCCAAAGUUCACCUUCUGUGCUUCUGUGGUGGGUAGUAGUUGUCUCCGGCAGCAUUUCUGAGUCAUGAUGAGGUUCACACACGGAGUCACUCUAGCGGCUUGUAAAAAGGCCAAAGGCAUUCAAAAGGGUUUUUUUGUAACCCUCUUUACUGGAUCCAAUACCUCAAAGCUUCUCAUGAUUUGGCAGUACAAACAGGAAGAGGUUUGAGUGAAGGUUUAAGAUCACAGCUCUGCUUAUUGUCAACAGAUUCAUAAACACAACAGAAAAAAAGUGAAGCCAACUGCUGGAGGACAAAAUACUGCAAACAUCUUACAAUGUAUGAUUGGACUUGGUGGAGUACCAACGCGCUGGUCGGAUGGAGAGCUGACCUGGCUGCUAUAGAAACCUGCUUACUAACUUGUGCGUGGCUAUCGCUUUCACUUUCCGCUCAACAGCAGCAGUCGACCGACGUUAAAGGGGCACUGAUUACACAAAUCAGUUUGAUUUCAUUUUCAUGAGGUAAAGCUGGAGAAACCCUGGCCGUGAAAGGAGCACGGAGGUUCAGGAGUUUGGUGGACAUGGGGACAUAACGGCAGGUUCGGACAGUUCAUGCUCUUGGGUUGCAUUACCAAGAGUGAAUGAUUCAUGAGUUUGACUGUUUGUUAAAGUCAGGACGUUUCAGCUUCACAGAUUCAUUCGCGUCAGUACGGGACUAACCUGCUCCAGUACCUCAUCGUUAUAAAUACUCAUCGAUCUUUGAGCACAGAUGUUCAUUUUUAUUCACAUGGGUUUACUAUAGGUUACUUUAGGCCGUACAUAUUUUGGCAGGUGAAUAACAGGUGGCAGCAUCAGGUGAAGUAGAGGCGGCUCAGCCUGUUGGCGCUCUCGAUGUUGAUGGAACAUGGCGACACGGCGAACGCCCACGCUGGCACUGAACCAACCCCGCACCCCGGGCUCCUCCCUCACGCGCCCGCUUAAGGCUGAGACGACUUACGGUCUUCAUUUUACAGGCUUUGCGUUUUGUACGUAUUUACUCUGCAGACCGGCCCCUGACAGCAUGUGUGACAGAGUCCAUGAACAUCUGUCCUGCCCACAGCAAUCUGUAAGUGCUCUGCUGUGGCUGCUGUGUAGUUUGUUUGAUUCAUCAUUACAUUGGACCUCAGGGUUCGUUAGAUUAACUUUUCUUUAAAGAGGGCCUUCACUGAAUAAAAAAAAAAAAAGAUGUCUCCCUUAUCUGACCAUUUUACCCAUUGGCAGCUGGGAGAACACGACUCGGGGUGGGAGGCAGCCUUCCGUCAAUUUGACAAUGUGGCUGUUGCAGAUGAGCCGUAUCUACAAGUGCCGGUGCUGUUUGCUUCUUCUUUUAUAUGCUGACAUUUGUCUUCUUGCUCUCCCUAAAAAUGUCAAGGAUUCUUAACACUGGUGAAACCUUCCAAAUGGCAACACCGAGGUGGCGUGUGGGGUAACUAAUACAGGCGGUUCUCACCACGGAGGAGCUUACAAACGAAGGGCAGUCAAGCAGAAAGGGAAGUGGUUGAAACACAAUGACACUGUGCUCGGUCAAAUAAGGAGUAAGCGGGUAAGCGUGUUUCUGCUGUGAUCUUCUGCAGGUCCGUCUGUGUGCGCAUUCUGUUCCUCUCCAUGUUGGACAGGCUGAUCUAAACCAGACUGGUAGACUGAACGCCGGCUCGCAUUAAAAAAAAAACUCUUUCAACAGCUCCUCUGGCAGCUUCAGCAGCAGGAGUGGGGCCGGGUUCGAGGUUAAAGUUAUUCAGCGGGAGAGAGGAAUUUGGUAUUAUAUCACUUGCUAAUUGUCUUAUUAUUAAUUGGUGACAUUGAUUGAAAUGGAUUCGACUCCAUCCAGGAUCCACGGCCUCCUCUUCAGACCCUUUGUGACUGUGGAUCACACAGACAAGACUCGGUUAAUUGGGUUCCUCGCACAAACCAGCAUCUGCAACACAAACUGUUAGAACAAUGCAGUCGGCAUCACCUUGUGUCAGAUCAUAGAGGAGAACAACACAGCUCUUACUUUUUACAGUAGCAUCCACUGUCCGCUAACCUCCCCUGGUGAUGAGCAAUCUGCUAACCUCCCCUGGUGAUGAGCAAUCUGCAGCCUUCCUGAGUACGGACUUGAAGACGGCCACACUGCCAUCCGCUCCCAGCUCGCUGUGAAGAAGGAUGCCACAAAACAAAACCACAAAAGACUCCUGGCCACCUUCUCACCUGAAGAGAGGCUACACAAGGGUGUG
Molecule: non-coding RNA, 4645 nt
Organism: Gasterosteus aculeatus aculeatus (three-spined stickleback)
Lineage: Eukaryota; Metazoa; Chordata; Actinopteri; Perciformes; Gasterosteidae
Source: RefSeq, a predicted model, not a curated record